GCCGGUAUAGCUCAGCUGGCUAGAGCAGCUGAUUUGUAAUCAGCAGGUCGUGGGUUCGAGUCCCUCUACCGGCUCUA
RNAcentral lists this transfer RNA (77 nucleotides) under Flagellimonas allohymeniacidonis. Its description in RNAcentral is "Muricauda sp. 176CP4-71 tRNA-Thr". It matches the Rfam family "tRNA". Rfam says of the family: Transfer RNA (tRNA) molecules are approximately 80 nucleotides in length. Their secondary structure includes four short double-helical elements and three loops (D, anti-codon, and T loops). The record is from RNAcentral. Lineage: Bacteria; Pseudomonadati; Bacteroidota; Flavobacteriia; Flavobacteriales; Flavobacteriaceae.